GGGUUGUGAGGUUAAGCGACUAAGCGUACACGGUGGAUGCCCUGGCAGUCAGAGGCGAUGAAGGGCGUGCUAAUCUGCGAUAAGCGCCGGUAAGGUGAUAUGAACCGUUAUAACCGGCGAUACCCGAAUGGGGAAACCCAGUGUGAUUCGUCACACUAUCAUUAACUGAAUCCAUAGGUUAAUGAGGCGAACCGGGGGAACUGAAACAUCUAAGUACCCCGAGGAAAAGAAAUCAACCGAGAUUCCCCCAGUAGCGGCGAGCGAACGGGGAGGAGCCCAGAGCCUGAAUCAGCAUGUGUGUUAGUGGAAGCGUCUGGAAAGGCGCGCGAUACAGGGUGACAGCCCCGUACACAAAAGCGCAUGUGCUGUGAGCUCGAUGAGUAGGGCGGGACACGUGGUAUCCUGUCUGAAUAUGGGGGGACCAUCCUCCAAGGCUAAAUACUCCUGACUGACCGAUAGUGAACCAGUACCGUGAGGGAAAGGCGAAAAGAACCCCGGCGAGGGGAGUGAAAAAGAACCUGAAACCGUGUACGUACAAGCAGUGGGAGCACCCUUCGGGGUGUGACUGCGUACCUUUUGUAUAAUGGGUCAGCGACUUAUAUUCUGUAGCAAGGUUAACCGAAUAGGGGAGCCGGAGGGAAACCGAGUCUUAACCGGGCGUUAAGUUGCAGGGUAUAGACCCGAAACCCGGUGAUCUAGCCAUGGGCAGGUUGAAGGUUGGGUAACACUAACUGGAGGACCGAACCGACUAAUGUUGAAAAAUUAGCGGAUGACCUGUGGCUGGGGGUGAAAGGCCAAUCAAACCGGGAGAUAGCUGGUUCUCCCCGAAAGCUAUUUAGGUAGCGCCUCGUGAAUUCAUCUCCGGGGGUAGAGCACUGUUUCGGCUAGGGGGCCAUCCCGGCUUACCAACCCGAUGCAAACUGCGAAUACCGGAGAAUGUUAUCACGGGAGACACACGGCGGGUGCUAACGUCCGUCGUGAAGAGGGAAACAACCCAGACCGCCAGCUAAGGUCCCAAAGUCAUGGUUAAGUGGGAAACGAUGUGGGAAGGCCCAGACAGCCAGGAUGUUGGCUUAGAAGCAGCCAUCAUUUAAAGAAAGCGUAAUAGCUCACUGGUCGAGUCGGCCUGCGCGGAAGAUGUAACGGGGCUAAACCAUGCACCGAAGCUGCGGCAGCGACACUGUGUGUUGUUGGGUAGGGGAGCGUUCUGUAAGCCUGUGAAGGUGGCCUGUGAGGGUUG
Molecule: ribosomal RNA, 1240 nt
Filed under: Salmonella enterica
Lineage: Bacteria; Pseudomonadati; Pseudomonadota; Gammaproteobacteria; Enterobacterales; Enterobacteriaceae
Description: partial 23S ribosomal RNA
Rfam family: Bacterial large subunit ribosomal RNA
Source: RNAcentral